UGACUGUGUCAGUUCUUGGCACCAAUUUAUCCAAUUAAUUCCGUUUUCAGGAACUGAGAUGAUUUUAAAUUCAGCACAAAUGCCUUUUGAAAAAAUCAUGUAUUUAUAGUUUUGCCUUUAAUGAUAGUGUACUUAUUUUUCAGUUUAAAACUUCUUUAUCUUUGACCUGGACCAUUACAAUCAGUCCACACUUCAGAAGUUCUCAAAUAUUCAUUUGUCUCCACCAUAGAAUAUUUUCUCCAUUGCCACCAUAAUUGCCUUUCUUAUGGGGGGGGGGAAGAGAGAGAGAAAGAGAGAGAGAGAGAAUAUUUUGUUCUCUGCCAUGAAAAUUCUUUCAUGGACCCACCUAACAUCUAUGUGGUAAACUCCAAACUGGUAAUUCUGACAAAAUACCCUCCAUGUUUUGGCCUCCCUCUAUCUUGCUUUUUGUCUGUCUUCCACAUGCACUUGUUACAUUGAACUUCUCAUUAUUCCUUGAUGACCCUAAGUAUUUUCAUGCUUACUUUGCUUGGUUCUUGUUUAUCAAAGCCCAUAAACUCUAUUCCCUCCUUAACAAGGCAAAAGUUAUUUGUUCCUUCAAGGCCCAACUCAGAUUAUCAACACUUUUUGUGAUGUGCUGCUUAAUCAUCAUCCCUCUCAAGGUACAAAUAGUUGCUUUUACUUCUGUAUCACUUGUAGAUAUUUGCCAUUGCACUUUUCACAGCCUGCUGCAAGUACUUGUAAGUCUAUCACCACAUGGUGGCUGGCAAGAUGGUCAAAUAGGAACAGCUUCAGUCAGGAGCAGCUCCGUUUUGCAGCUCCCGGCGAGAUCAACGAAGAAGGGUGAUUUCUGCAUUUCCAACUGAGGUACCCGGCUCAUCUCUCCGGGACUGGUUAGAUAGUGGGUGUGAACCAUGGAGGACGAGCCGAAGCAGGGUGGGGCGUCACCUCACUGUGGAAGCACGAAGGGUUGGGGAACUCACUCCCCUAGCCAAUGGAAGCCAUGAGGGACUGUGCUGUGAGGAAGGGUGCACUCUGGCCCAGAUACUAGUUUUUCCCACGGCUUUCGCAACUCGCAGACCAGGAGAUUCCCUUGGGUGCCUACACCACCAGGGCCCUGGGUUUCAGCACAAAACUGGGCAUGUUAGGGCAGACACCGAGGUAGCCACAGGAGUUUUGUUCUUCAUACCCCAGUGGCACCUGGAAUGCUUGCAAAUUGGUGGCCGUAGCAAUUUCUGUUUUCAGUGGCUGUUAUAAAAAUUACAUGAGAAAGUAGGCAAAGUACUAAGUAGGGUACCUGUCCUAUAAAUGUUAGCUUCAACUCUUAUACCUCCUCAUCUAUUACUGUUAAAUUUGUUAUUUAUUACUAUUGAAACACCAAUGAAGAAAUACUGUUAUUGCAAAAAGUAUUUGAGAAACUGACUUAAAAAAAUUGGGAAGAGAAUUGCCACUUUUUUAAAAGGUAAGUUUAGGUGAAAAGGCAUUUGGAAUGAGUUCAGUAAAUGUGGUGAAAUAAAGACAACUGAACAGAUAAGACACAAUUAGACCAUGUCAAAAUGGCUAACACUCAUAUAACCCCAAUUCACCUUUUUGAAAAUAUAAAUAACAGCUUCUCUCGCCAGGCGUCCCCGUGGAAGGACAUUGUCUUUAAACUCUGGCAAUCCCUGACGCACUGCUGUGCUGCCCAGGGAAAACAGGGCGACCCGGAAGUCCAACUACUUCCUUAAGAUCAUCCAACUAUUGGAUGAUUAUCCGAAAUGCUUCAUUGUGUAGCAGGCAAUGUGGGCUCCCAGCAGAUGCAGCAGAUCCGCAUGUCCCGCCGCAGGAAGGCCAUGGUUCUGAUGGGAAGAACACCAUGAUGUGUGAGGUCAUCCGAGGGCACCUGGAAAACAACCCAGCUCUGGAGAAACUGCUGCCUCUUAUCUGGGGGAAUGUGGGCUUUGUGUUCACCGAGAUCAGGGACAUGCUGCUGAGGGACAUUACUGAGAUCAGGGACAUGCUGCUGACCAAUAAGGCAGCAGCCUAUGUGAAGUCACUGUGCCAGCCCAGAACACUGGUCUGGGGCCCGAGAAGACCUCCUUUUUCCAGGCUUUAGGUAUCACCACUAAAAUCUCCAGGGCCAUCGUUAAAAUCCUGAGCGAUGUGCAGCUGAUCAAGACUGGAGACAAAGUGGGAGCCAGUGAAGCCACGCUGCUGAACAUGCUCAACAUCUCUCCCUUCUCCUUUGGGCUGGUCACCCAGCAGGUGUUCGACAAUGGCAGCAUCUACAACCCUGAAGGGCUUGACAUCACAGAGGAAACUCUGCACUCUCACUUCCUGAAGGGCGUCCGCAAUGUUGCCAGUGUCUGUCUGCAGAUUGGCUACCCAGCUGUUGCAUCAGUACCCCAUUCUAUCAUCAACAGAUACAAACGAGUCCUGGCCUUGUCUGUGGAGACUGAUUACACCUUCCCAGUUGCUGAAAAGGUCAAGGCCUUCUUGGCUGAUCCAUCUGCCUUUUCCGUGGCUGCCCCUGUGGCUGCUGCCACUACGGCUGUGCCUGCUGCUGCUGCAACCCCAGCUAAGGUUGAAGCCAAGGAAAAGUCGGAGUCGGACGAGGAUAUGGGAUUUGGUCUCUUUGACUAAUCACCAAAAAGCAACCACCUUAGCCAGCUUUAUGUGCAAAACAAGGAAAUAACACCGUCUUUAAAAAGUAAAAAAACAAAACAAAACACAAAAACAAAAGAAAAUAUAAAUAACCUUAAAAGUUAGUUAAGGUAUUUACUCUCUUUAAGGAGGGAGAACUACACGUCCCCUUCAAGUAUCUUAAGGAAUGAAAGUGUAGACAGGAUACAGGUGCUGAGCAUCUAUUAUGCAAGAACUGUGCUGGAUGUACAUUCCUUAGAACACUUCCAUAAAAUAGUAAUGUCUAUAUUUUGCAAAUAAAAAAUCUGAGGUUCAAAAUGGCCAAGUAGCUUGUCCAGAAGUCACAUAGCUGGCUAGUUGAAGAAGCUGGAAGUAAAACUCAGAUUUUUCUGAAUCAAAAGGCUUUUAUAAUUCUGUCUUAAGUGGUGUGAGAUUACGAAUCAGAAAGUGGAACCCCAAGUGUGAAAGGGAGAGUCCUAAAAUUGAAAAGUUAAAGAGUUGAAGAAGGCUUUUAUGUUUUAUUCAGACUGUUUUUCUUAAAAUUAGUUAGGUUAAGAUAUAAAGUUUAAAAUAUUACAUGAUAUUCCAACUUUCUCUGUUUUGAUGUUAUAAAACCUUGUGAACUGGGACUCCAGAAUUAUUAACAUAAGCUUGGAAUUUAUUUUAAAGUGUGAUGUAUUUGCUCUAAACUAGACUUCUAACCAGCUGAAAUUCAGUGGCUUCUGAGAUGUAGGUUCUUAUUCAACUAGACUAAAUGUGUCAUGCAGAAAUUUAUGACACAGUGGAGGCCAGAGGCUUUUACAGCAGCAAGUCCCUAAAGAAAUCAAGAGGAUCCUUUUUGGUCUACAGAACUGGAGAGAAUUUUUCCCAUCUAUCCACUGACAAAGGGCUAAUAUCCAGAAUCUACAAGGAACUUAAAAAUAUAUACAAGAAACAAACAAACAAACCCAUCAAAAAAUGGGCAAAGGAUAUGAACAGACACUUCUCAAAGGAGGACAUUUAUGUGGCUAACAAACGUAUGAAAAAAAGCUCAUCAUCACUGGUCAUUAGAUAAAUGCAAAUCAAAACCACAAUGAGAUACCAUCUCAGGCCAGUUAGAAUGGUGAUCAUUAAAAAGUCAGGAAACAACAGAUGGUGGAGAGGAUGUGAAGAAAUAGGAACGCUUUUACACUGUUGGUAGGAGUAUAAAUUAGUUCAACCACUGUGGAAGACAGUCUGGCAAUUCCUCAAAGAUCUAGAACCAGAAAUACCAUUUGACCCAGCAAUCCCAUUAUUGGGUGUAUACCCAAAGGAUUCUAAAUUAUUCUACUAUAAAGACAUGUGCACAUGUAUGUUUAUUGUGGCACUGUUUCAAGUUCAGUUAUUUUGCUGGAAUAUGACCCAAUUUGAUACUUUGUAUAAUUUUUCCCCUUGAGAUAUGAUGUGCCCCCUCAAUCAGUAAAAUAUAUUCUUCUCCUAUCUCCUCCCCUUCUCCUCCUCUUUCUUCAUCAUCUUUUUCCUGGUUAAAUUUAGUUUCUCUCCUUUCUCAUUUUGGCUCAUUAUACCUCUUACUGAGCUUUUAGAUGUGUCUAUUCCCCUUAGUGAUGCUUCCAAGGCUUUGUUUCUGUGAUUUUCUUCAACUUUAUUUCUGUGUUCACAGCUCUUGUUUUAUCAUCUCUUUCCUAAGCUUUUGCACCUCUGCUCUGUGCUACUGUUUUAUAAAUGAAAGUUUUAAAAAAUUAUUAUUUUUCAUUUAAUUCAUGCAAAAUUAUGGUUGACAAUAUUUCAUCUGUGACAUCUAUGGUCUUUUUUUUUUUUUAGCUUUAUCUGACAUCUUUCCCCUUUUCUUUUUCUCUCCUUCGUGCCCAUAUUUUGUUAUCUUAAAAUUGAUUCUUGUUUUUCUUAAAUCUCUCAUAUUAUUUUUCUGUAGAAAUUUUAUGUAUGGGAGAACAAAUAAGGAGCUGCAUUAUAGACUAGAAGAAAUUUUCAUUAUAAGCUAACAUCUUAAUCUGAGUUCUUUUAUCCAUUGCCUUCCUAGCCAGCCCAUGAAGACAAAGGGAUAAAAAAGGCUAUGAGACUGUGAGAUGGUUUGUCUCUAUGUCCCAAAAUCUCGUGUUGAAUUAUAAUCCCCAAUGUUGGGGGAGGGACCUGGUGGGAGGUGACUGAAUCAUGGGGGCAGAUUUUCCCUUGCUAUUCUCAUGAUAAUGAGUGAAUUCUCAUGAGAUCUGGGCUUGUUUGAAAGUGUAUAGCUCUUCCUCCUUAUCUCUCUCUCUCUCCUGCCAGCCAUGUGAAUAUGUGCUUGCUUCCCCUUCACUUUCUGUCAUGAUUGUAAAUUUCCUGAGGCUUCCCCAGAAGCAGGAGCCUGUACAGUCCACAGAACCAUAGGCCGAUUAAACCUCCUUUCUCUGUAAAUUACCCAGUCUCAUGUAGUUCCUUAUAGAAAUGUGAGAACAGAUGAAUACAGACGGCUUUCUAUAAAUUUGGCUUUCUAUAACUGAUCAUUUAUUCAGCCAUUUCUCCCUGACUUCUCAGUACUAAAUAUGGUCCAGGGAUGCUCCUGUCAUGAUCCCAUAUACUUGUCUUCUUCUAUUACAAAAAAGGGAUUCUACUUUUGCAUCUUAAAUGGUAUAUAUUCCAGCUUGGAGAAAUGUCCUUUGGGACCAGCCCUUCUGAGAGUUAUAGCACAGCAUCCUCUCUCCCCAUGCUCCUGUACUCUCCCUUAAUUGUCACUGCUUUAGGUAGCCUUUCUAUUGAUAUUAUGAUUUGAGUUUCCACUGUCUACUAGGGUCACAAAAAAUGAGUUCCCUUUUUCAUAUACCUACCUUAAAACAUUGAAUACCUGCUUUCUCAUGUUCUUUCUCCUGUCUGAGAACUGGAACAUAGAUGAUCCUUGAUGACGUGUUGGAAGAACUACAAGAUGAAAGGAAAUGAGGUACCUGAAUGAUAGAAGUAAAACCACUCAGCUGGCUUGGACUGCUCACUCAGGACUGUUACAUGGAAUAAAAAUAAAGGUCUAUGUUUUUUAAGCUACUGUAUUUUGGGGACUGCUUAUUUCUAUAGUUCUUGCUCUAUAUUAUAAACUCACUUAUCAAUAUUUUGUUUUGAGUUGUUUGCUGGAUUUAUUUUAUAAGAUUCUUUUUUGUGCUAAAUGGAUUUGAAAUGACUUUGUACAUUAAGGCAAAUAAUCUUUUCUUGUAUAUAACUUCAUUUGCCUUCAAAUUCAGUUUAGGCAAUUAUAUUUCUCAUAUUGGC
This 5832-nucleotide long non-coding RNA is filed under the name Callithrix jacchus (white-tufted-ear marmoset). Its description in RNAcentral is "lncRNA (ENSCJAG00000084812.1)". The record is from RNAcentral. Lineage: Eukaryota; Metazoa; Chordata; Mammalia; Primates; Cebidae.